AGCAGCCGCGGUAAUUCCAGCUCCAAUAGCGUAUAUUAAAGCUGUUGCAGUUAAAAAGCUCGUAGUUGAAUUUCGGGAUCAGUAUGUUGGUCGUGCUUCGGUACGUACUGUCAUUACUGGUUUCUACCUUCUGAAGAACCAUGAUGUCAUUAAUUUGGUGUCAUGGGGAAUCAGGACUGUUACUUUGAAAAAAUUAGAGUGUUUAAAGCAGGCUAACGCUUGAAUACAUUAGCAUGGAAUAAUGAAAUAGGACGUUCGAUCUUAUUUUGUUAGUUUCUAAGAUUGACGUAAUGAUUAAUAGGGAUAGUUGGGGGCAUUAGUAUUCAAUUGUCAGAGGUGAAAUUCUUGGAUUUAUUGAAGACUAACUACUGCGAAAGCAUUUGCCAAGGAUGUUUUCAUUAAUCAGGAACGAAGUUAGGGGAUCGAAGACGAUCAGAUACCGUCGUAGUCUUAACCAUAAACUAUGCCGACUAGGGAUCGGAUGAUGUUAAUUUUUUAAUGA
RNAcentral lists this small RNA (502 nucleotides) under uncultured Glomus. Its description in RNAcentral is "SSU rRNA". It matches the Rfam family "Eukaryotic small subunit ribosomal RNA", at positions 569 to 1077 of the family's 1831-position model. Lineage: Eukaryota; Fungi; Glomeromycota; Glomeromycetes; Glomerales; Glomeraceae. The record is from RNAcentral.